This 247-nucleotide ribosomal RNA is filed under the name uncultured bacterium. Its description in RNAcentral is "partial 16S ribosomal RNA". It matches the Rfam family "Bacterial small subunit ribosomal RNA", at positions 523 to 769 of the family's 1533-position model. The record is from RNAcentral.
AUACGGAGGAUGCGAGCGUUAUCCGGAUUCAUUGGGUUUAAAGGGUGCGUAGGCGGACUAUUAAGUCAGUGGUGAAAUCCUGCAGCUUAACUGCAGAACUGCCAUUGAUACUGAUAGCCUUGAGUUUGGUUAAGGUAGGCGGAAUGUGUAAUGUAGCGGUGAAAUGCUUAGAUAUGACACGGAACACCAAUUGCGAAGGCAGCUCACAAAACUGUAACUGACGCUGAGGCACGACAGCGUGGGGAUC